Molecule: long non-coding RNA, 3614 nt
Organism: Diospyros lotus (date-plum)
Lineage: Eukaryota; Viridiplantae; Streptophyta; Magnoliopsida; Ericales; Ebenaceae
Exons: 6
Source: RefSeq, a predicted model, not a curated record
UCAAGAUUCACCAACCAAUCAAAAAGCUCAAUCAGGUAACCAAAACAGCAUAACUUGGAUGAUUAUGCAUAGUAAUCCAGUUGAAUCUUCAUCUUCAACUACAGAAAGUAUCAGAUGCCCCAUUUUCAGAGCUAAACCUAUCAGGAUCUUUCUCUGUUGAACUUACUGCCAAUUGACUGCAAUGGGGCUUCUGACAGUGUAUUUUCCAGACACCCAAACAAGAGAUCCAAAUGAAGAAGUGGGUGGACUUACUGAUCCUCCUAAUGCAACAAAGCUGACUUGAUAGUUCUCUUGUAUGUCAAUGAGGUGUUUGUGGAAAUGCCGCUGAAGAGGACGGACAGAGAAGGGUAGUUCAGGUCGCCAGGCUGAAGAGCUGCAUCGGCUGGACAAGUGAAAUCCCUCCUUGACAGAAGAGAUAUUUGGGAAGAUGUGUAGUUCAGGCUGCAUAAGUAGUUCAAAUAGUCCUCUGCGGUGAUAUCAUACACCAGCCCAGGAUUGGAUGCCCUCUCUGGAUCGACGUGGCCAGAGCCAUAUGCGAAAGGGGUGGCCGGUUUGGACCCGUCAGAACCAGCAUCAGCUAUUGGACCCUUUCUGUUGUCGAGAGUAUAGGCAGUUGUCAUCAGCGCCGACUUGAUGGCUGCUGGUGACCAGUCCUUGUGGACAGAUUUAAGCAGUGCAGCCAAGCCACUAAUGUGAGGGCAGGACAUGGAAGUGCCGGAGAUUAUGUUAAAUUGAACGCUUCUCUUGUCGAUGCUAAGCCUGGUUGGACUGACAUUGGGCGGCCAGGCAGCUAAUAUGUUCACCCCUGGUGCAGUCAUGUCCGGCUUGAUCACAUCCGGUCCUACUAUGCUAGGCCCCCUUGAGGAGAAUGCUGCCAUCACUGGUGCAGGAUUGCCGUAAACAGUUCCUCCAAAUGCAAUGGAAGCUGUUGGGUUCUUUGCUGAGGUCGCGUGGUUUUUGAUGGCACUGCCAGCAGAAGCUCCCAGAGAAGUGGCUGGAAGAAUGUGUGCAUCAGCCAAAAUCUCUUCACCUUCAUCGUUGGUGUUCACUAGCAGCAUUCCGACACCCCCUGCCAUCUUCACUUGCUCUCCCUUUUCAGCCCGGCUGUUGAUUCCUCGCUCGCAAACAACAAUCUUCCCUUUGACAAGCUUUGGCGAGAGGGAUCCAUCAGUGCAAUACUCGGCUCCUUGGCCACCUGAAGUUUCACCAUAUACUAAUGGCAAUUGUUUAGUAGGCUUACCUGAAUAGAGUGAAGCCCCUUUGAAAGUUUGUUCAUUGCCAAGCUUGACUGUGGCUUGGAAGCUUCUAUCAAGGAAGCUUGCAGCCACAGUCAUGAUCCAAGGAGCAGCAUUGCUUACAGUUGAUGUAGAAGGGCCUGAGUUGCCGGCUGAGCAGGAGACAAAUACCCCGUUCUGAAUUGCACCAAAUGAAGCUAUUGCCAUAUUAUCACUGUGGUAAGGCUUUUGAAUGCCUCCUAAAGAGAGUGAUAACACGUCAACCCCAUCCAUGACAGCUUGGUCAAUGGCAGCCAGCAUAUCAGAGGUGGAACAGCCCAAUGGCCAGCAGAUUUUAUAUGCUGCAAUCCUUGCAGUAUACCUCAUGCCACCAGCUGAGCCUUUGGCCAGGCCUAAAAAGCUUGCUCCCGGUAUAAGAUUUCCAGCUGCAGUUGAAGCAGUGUGUGUUCCAUGCCCGUCUGAGUCACGAGCUGAACGAUACGCCACUGUUUCAUUAAUUCUCCCUGCAACAGCCUCGUACCCUUUGAAAAAGGCCCUUGCACCAAUGAGCUUCUUGUUGCAGUUGGAACGCGUGAACUUUGUGCCCUCCUCACAUGUGCCCUUCCAUCUAGAGGGCACUGGGGACAUGCCAGAGUCGCUAAAACUGCCAUGUUCUGGCCAUAUUCCAGUAUCCACAACGCCAAUAAUUACAUCUGAAGCCAAGUUUGAACCAUUCCAGAGGCCUUUGCCAUGCUUUAGGCCAAGAAACUGAGGUGAGCGUGUGGUGUGGAGAGACAGAAUUUCAUCCGGCGUGGCAGAGAGGAAGCCAUCAAUGUUUUUUAGUGAUUCAAGUUGGCUGGUGGAAAGUUUUGCGGCAAAACCAAAAAUAGUGGUUUCAUAGACAUAGAGAAGCUGAGGAGCUGAUGUUUCUGCUUCUUCUUCUUGAGAAGAGUUCAUGCUGAUGAAGUCCAUGAUUGAUUGGUACCAUGUUCUCGAAUUGCCAUGAGAAGUCUCUAAUGCUGUGAUCUUAGCCCUGUCCAUGUGAACUACAUAUGUUUGUCUUUCUGUUGAAGCAAAUGAAGUUGCAGCCAUGAGAGCAAACAACAGCAAGAAUGUCCUGAAGAUCAUUUUAAUUUGGCUGCAAAAUAGAGAAAUUUAUAAUCAAUAUUGGGAUGAUCGCCCUUGCGCAGCUCCCGAUGCUCGUGCCCUCGAUUACGCCAAGGGAGAUAAAUCGCAAGUUGGGCCUUUGGCCCUUGCGCAUUACGAGAAUCAAACUUGCAACCCACUGGAUUGACACUGGCAUAUUGCUCAUCCGACCACUUGACCUAUACCUUAGGGACAAUUUAGAAUCAAUAUUGAACAAUGCCAAAAGGAAAAGUAGGUAGUAGGUUAAUGUUUUUAAUGAAACGUGUGGGAAGAAACUCUUUAGUAGAUUAGAAAUACUAUUUUUAGAACAAAUGUAAAAACCUGAAAACUCUUUGGUAAGUGUUCAGAGAGAGAGAGAGAGAGAUGUUAUACCUAUUCAUUUCCUUCAAACUAGGAAAUGGUGUAUGUGGGCCGAGUAUCUUGGUUUGAGGCGCAGCUUCUAUGUUGUAUAUAUAUAGGCAAGGCUAGUAUAAUAAUGAGUUGACUAGAGCUCCAUUAACCGUGCUUGUUUCCUUGGAAAAUUAAAGAAGAAAACCUUCCAACUUUGUCUUCUCCUAAAGUGCAGGCCUGGGAUUGGAUAAAAGACAAAAAGAGAAAGAAAGAGAGAAAAUUAAGUUGCAAAAACUCUACUCCAACAUGGAAGGCAGAGGUUGAAGAUAAUAAGAGUUGGAAGUUUGAACUUGAAAGCAGUGGAGGCCUAAACUGAGGAACCCUUGAUUUGAUGAUGGGGCAAAGGCCAGGUUUGGCACUUUCCCACUCACCAAACAAUGCUAAGGUUCCACUUCAUGUGACUGACAAAGUACAAGGUAAAUAUUUGGAAAAUGGGAAGCUUUGGGACCAUUGGUAUGGAAGAGGAGAUAGACCCGAGGAGGAUGAGAUUCUUUCAGUGCUGUGCAUAUGGCUUUAUCAUCAAUUUGCCCCCUUUGAGUCUCCUCUAAGGUACAAAUUGUCCCAAAUUAAAGAGAGUAAGGUGCAGGUAAAACUUUUACUAAUUAGAUAAUAGAUGUCAUUAGACAUGUGACAUCAAAUAUUUUGUCAUUUUUUCUAUUUUUGGGAGGGUUGUGGUUAAAUUUAACGUGAGUCUAUUGACUCACUAACAACUAAUUGAUGGGUGUGAAUUUUGUUUUAUAUCGAUUAGGAUAUAUUACACUAAAAAAGAUCCAUAUGGGUAAUAAUUUUGUUGUUUCCAAAAAGGAUACAUAACAUUAAAUUUGAUAUUUACUUAUAUAAUAGAAUGAAUAUAUAUUAUUAAUU